Molecule: ribosomal RNA, 1472 nt
Filed under: uncultured Bordetella sp.
Lineage: Bacteria; Pseudomonadati; Pseudomonadota; Betaproteobacteria; Burkholderiales; Alcaligenaceae
Description: partial 16S-23S ribosomal RNA intergenic spacer
Rfam family: Bacterial small subunit ribosomal RNA
Source: RNAcentral
GGUUCGAUUAUGGCCUUAGAUUGAACGCUGGCGGGAUGCUUUAAGCACAUGCAAGUCGUGGAAUGCGCAGCACGACUUCGGUCUGGUGGGCGAGUGGCGAACGGGUGAGUAAUGUAUCGGAACGUACCUAGUAGCGGGGGAUAACUACGCGAAAGCGUAGCUAAUACCGCAUACGCCCCUUCGGGGAAAGCGGGGGACCUUCGGGCCUCACUAUUAGAGCGGCCGACAUCGGAUUAGCCAGUUGGUGGGGUAACGGCUCACCAAGGCGACGAUCCUGUAGCUGGUUUGAGAGGACGACCAGCCACACUGGGACUGAGACACGGCCCAGACCCUACGGGAGGUAGCAGUGGGGAAUUUUGACAAUGGGGGAAACCCUGAUCCAGCUACUCCCGGUGUGCGAUGAAGGCCUUCGGGUUGUGAAGCACUUUUGGCAGGAAAGAAACGGCACGGAUAACACCCCGUGCAACUGACGGCACCUGCAGAAUAAGCACCGGCUAACCACGUGCCAGCAGCCGCGGUAGCAUGUAGGGGUGCAAGCGUUAAUCGGAAUUACUGGCGUAAAGCGUGCGCAGGCGGUUCGGAAAGAAAGAUGGAAAUCCCAGGAGCUUAAUCUCUUCAGAACCGCAUUUUUGUCUACUUUCGGAGCUAGAGUGUGUCAGAGGGAGGUGGAAUUCGCGUGUAGGCAGUGAAAUGCGAUAUGGGAGGAACACUGAUGGCGAAGGCAGCCUCCCUGGGAUACCACCGACGCUCAUGCACGAAAGCGUGGGGAGCAAAACAGAUUAGAUACCCUGGUAGUCCACGCCCUAAACGAUGUCAACUAGCUGUUGGGGUUUUCGGGCUUUGAAGUGCACGUUAACGCGUGGGGUUGACCGCCUGGGGAGUACGGUCGCAAGAUUAAACUCAAAGGAAUUGACGGGGACCGCACAAGCGAUGAGACGACUCGAUGCAACGAAACCUUACCUACCCUUGAUAUGUCUGGAAUCCCGAAGAGAUUUAGAGGUUUCGUGCAACUGAACACAGGUUAUGGGGCGGUUGUCGUCAGCUCGUGUCGUGGAGAUGUUGCUGAGUCCUUGGCAACGAGCGCAACCCCUUAUUAGCUAGUUGCCGCGAAAGGGCACCUAAUGAGACUGUUGCGACAAACCGAGGAAGGUGGGGAUGACGUCAAGUCCUCAUGGCCCUUAUGGGUAGGGCUUCACACGUCACACAAUGGUCGGGACAGAGGGUCGCCAACCCGCGAGGGGAGGCCAAUCCCAGAAACCCGAUCGGGUAGUCCGGAUCGCAGUCUGCAACUCGACUGCGAAGUCGGAAUCGCUAGUAAUCGCGGAUCAGCAGCGUCGCGUGUGAAUACGUUCCCGGUCUUGCAUACACCGCCCGUCACACCAUGGGAGUGGGUUCUACCAGAAGUAGUUAGCCUAACUGUAAGGAGGGCGAUUACCACGGUAGGAUUCAUGACUGGGUGAAGUCAAACACAG